This 220-nucleotide non-coding RNA is filed under the name unclassified sequences. Its description in RNAcentral is "FuFi-1 RNA". It matches the Rfam family "FuFi-1 RNA". The record is from Rfam by way of RNAcentral.
GCGUAACGCGUAUGGCUAUACGGCAGUCCCAAAACUGCCAAAGGUUACGGCAAGCCCAAAGAAUUGCAAGUCCGUUUUGCAAACAGAGAAUUUGCAUCACACAAGGCAUCGUGUGCUUGCUCGAUCAUAAAGAACCUUGGUCGGUUUCUCUGUUGCAAGCUUGUUCUGGUAAAAAACUUUGGGAUAAAGCUAUCUACUAACGGACAGUAGAUAGCUUUUU